CUACGGGUUGCUGCAGUAAGGAAUAUUGCGCAAUGGAGGCAACUCUGACGCAGCCAUGCCGCGUGCAGGAAGAAGGCCUUAUGGGUCGUAAACUGCUUUUAUUUAGGAAUAAACCCCCGAACGUGUUCGGGGCUGAAGGUACUAAACGAAUAAGCACCGGCUAACUGCGUGCCAGGCAGCCGCGGUAAUACGGAGGGUGCAAGCGUUAUCCGGAUUUAUUGGGUUUAAAGGGUGCGCAGGCGGGCUAUUAAGUCAGUGGUGAAAUCCCGGGGCUCAACUCCGGAACUGCCAUUGAUACUGAUAGUCUUGAGUUUGGUUGAAGUGGGCGGAAUGUAGCAUGUAGCGGUGAAAUGCAUAGAUAUGCUACAGAACACCAAUCGCGAAGGCAGCUCACUAAGCCAAAACUGACGCUCAUGCACGAAAGCGUGGGGAUCAAACAGGAUUAGAUACCCUCGUAGUC
RNAcentral lists this ribosomal RNA (460 nucleotides) under uncultured bacterium. Its description in RNAcentral is "partial 16S ribosomal RNA". It matches the Rfam family "Bacterial small subunit ribosomal RNA", at positions 339 to 795 of the family's 1533-position model. The record is from RNAcentral.